Long non-coding RNA from Mytilus californianus (California mussel), 7220 nucleotides. RefSeq lists it as uncharacterized. The record is from RefSeq and is a predicted model, not a curated record. NCBI's taxonomy places the organism in Eukaryota, Metazoa, Mollusca, Bivalvia, Mytilida, Mytilidae. The transcript is spliced from 3 exons.
UUGAUAGGUUUGAUUUAAGUAAUGGUUAAUUUUUUUAAUCAGUUCAGAAGACAGUGCUCAAUUAAAAGCUUUGGGUAUUGCAGCAUGAAAUAAUGUCUUUUAACUAUUCUUACCUAUGCAAGUUUAUUUUUUGAGAUCGAAAAUGAAUUUUUAUUGAACAUUUUGAAUGUCCUUGGAAAGGUAGAUUGUAUGAAAAUUACCUUAUAAUUGCUCUCAUUAUUAUAUGUAAAGUUUGUUAUGGCCUAUUAUUGGGGAAUUUAGCAUAAUUUGAAGAAGUUAUAUUGAAGAGAUAAAUGUUACUGCAUUACAUAACACUUAUUGUGCAAAUUAGAUGUCCCUGAACUACACCAUGUGGCUGGGACAUUUCAAUGCUCAUCCUUUUUUUGAAUAGACAGCUUUAAUAGAUUAAUAACUAAAUGUUCUUGAUUACAUCCAGCUGAACAACUGUUGACACUACUGUCCCCCUUUUUAAACCUCACAAUAAAUAGGGUACCUGUCCGACAUUUAUUGAUAUAUUUCCCCUGCAUUUUGACUUCCUUUGUAAUAUUAUUAAAUAUCUUAUUACAAAAAGCCUUGUAGCGUUUCAUCCUAUUGAAUAGGCUGAGAUCAAGUUUGAAUAUAUCUUUUGUGAAAGAAUUUCAAUGGAAUAUAAUAGGUCCAAGGGCAGUUGUGUAAUGAGUUGAAAGACUGCGAUAUUCGAUGCACAGAAAUAAAUUCCUAUUAUUGAAGAUGUAAACGCUUGAAUGGGCUAAAAUUAGAAUUUAAAUACACUUAAAUUUUCUCAUGUGGAGAUGGAUACAAUGAUUAUUUAACAUUUAUACUAGUGAACAUUUUAUCAAUACAUUGCCUGCUUUGGUUUAUUGAGUGGUGUUAUCCAUUGAAAAGUAUAAUUGAGGGAACUAAUACCAAAAUAAGAAGGGAUUAGUUAGGUCAAACAGAACGACAUGUCAACAACUGGUAAAUAUAAGGGGGGAGCAUGGCUAAUAGGGGCAGUUACUUAAUAAGGGGUCAUCAGUGCUAGAGACUGUACUUAUAUGGUUGUAAAACGAAGGGUCAUUGCUACAUGGUAGCACUGCUAUGGUUGUAAAUAGAAGGGUCAUUGGUACAUGGGUAGCACUGAUAUGGUUGUAAAUAGAAGGGGUCAUUGCUACAUGUGUAGCACUGCUAUGGUUGUAAAUAGAAGGGGUCAUUGUGACAUGGGUAGCACUGAUAUGGUUGUAAAAAGAAGGGUCAUUGCUACAUCGGUAACACUGCUAUGGUUGUAAAAAGAAGGGUCAUUGCUACAUGGGUAGCACUGAUAUGGUUGUAAAUAGAAGGGGUUAUUGUGACAUGGGUAGCACUGCUAUGGUUGUAAAAAGAAGGGUCAUUGCUACAUCGGUAGCACUGCUAUGGUUGUAAAAAGAAGGGUCAUUGCUACAUGGGUAGCACUGCUAUGAUUGUAAAUAGAAGGGUCAUUGCAACAUAGGUAGCACUUCUAUGAUUGUAAAAAAAAGAGUCAUUGUGACAUGGGUAGCACUGCUAUAAUUGUAAAUAGAAGGGUCAUUGCUACAUGGGUAGCACUGCUAUGGUUGUAAAUAGAAGGAGUCAUUGCUACAUCGAUAGCACUGCUAUGGUUGUAAAUAGAAGGGGUCAGUGCUACAUGGAUAGCACUGCUAUGGUUGUAAGUAGAAGGGGUCAUUGCUACAUGGAUAGCACUGCUAUGGUUGUAAAUAGAAGGGUCAUUGGUACAUGGGUAGCACUGAUAUGGUUGUAAAUAGAAGGGGUCAUUGCUACAUGUGUAGCACUGCUAUGGUUGUAAAUAGAAGAAUCAUUGGUACAUGGGUAGCACUGAUAUGGUUGUAAAUAGAAGGGUCAUUGCUACAUGGGUAGCACUGCUAUGGUUGUAAAUAGAAGGGUCAUUGUUACAUGGGUAGCACUGAUAUGGUUGUAAAUAGAAGGGGUUAUUGUGACAUAGGUAGCACUGAUAUGGUUGUAAAAAGAAGGGUCAUUGCUACAUGGGUAGCACUGCUAUGGUUUUAAAUAGAAGGGUCAUUGGUACAUGGGUGGCACUGAUAUGGUUGUAAAUAGAAGGGGUCAUUGUGACAUGGGUAGCACUGAUAUGGUUGUAAAAAGAAGGGUCAUUGCUACAUGAGUAGCACUGAUAUGGUUGUAAAAAGAAGGGUCAUUGCUACAUGGGUAGCACUGAUAUGGUUGUAAAAAGAAGGGUCAUUGCUACAUGGGUAGCACAGAUAUGGUUGUAAAAAGAAGGGUCAUUGCUACAUGGGUAGCACUGAUAUGGUUGUAAAAAGAAGGGUCAUUGCUACAUGGGUAGCACUGAUAUGGUUGUAAAAGAAGGAUCAUUGCUACAUUGGCAGCACUGCUAUGGUUGUAAAUAGAAGGGUCAUUGGUACAUGGGUAGCACUGAUAUGGUUGUAAAUAGAAGGGGUCAUUGCUACAUGUGUAGCACUGCUAUGGUUGUAUAUAGAAGGGGUCAUUGUGACAUGGGUAGCACUGAUAUGGUUGUAAAAAGAAGAGUCAUUGCUACAUCGGUAGCACUGCUAUGGUUGUAAAAAGAAGGGUCAUUGCUACAUGGGUAGCACUGCUAUUAUUGUAAAUAGAAGGGUCAUUGCAACAUAGGUAGCACUUCUAUGAUUGUAAAAAGAAGGGUCAUUGCUACAUGGGUAGCACAGAUAUGGUUGUAAAAAGAAGGGUCAUUGCUACAUGGGUAGCACUGAUAUGGUUGUAAAAAGAAGGGUCAUUGCUACAUGGGUAGCACUGAUAUGGUUGUAAAAGAAGGAUCAUUGCUACAUUGGCAGCACUGCUAUGGUUGUAAAUAGAAGGGUCAUUGGUACAUGGGUAGCACUGAUAUGGUUGUAAAUAGAAGGGGUCAUUGCUACAUGUGUAGCACUGCUAUGGUUGUAUAUAGAAGGGGUCAUUGUGACAUGGGUAGCACUGAUAUGGUUGUAAAAAGAAGGGUCAUUGCUACAUGGGUAGCACUGCUAUGGUUUUAAAUAGAAGGGUCAUUGGUACAUGGGUGGCACUGAUAUGGUUGUAAAUAGAAGGGGUCAUUGUGACAUGGGUAGCACUGAUAUGGUUGUAAAAAGAAGGGUCAUUGCUACAUGAGUAGCACUGAUAUGGUUGUAAAAAGAAGGGUCAUUGCUACAUGGGUAGCACUGAUAUGGUUGUAAAAAGAAGGGUCAUUGCUACAUGGGUAGCACAGAUAUGGUUGUAAAAAGAAGGGUCAUUGCUACAUGGGUAGCACUGAUAUGGUUGUAAAAAGAAGGGUCAUUGCUACAUGGGUAGCACUGAUAUGGUUGUAAAAGAAGGAUCAUUGCUACAUUGGCAGCACUGCUAUGGUUGUAAAUAGAAGGGUCAUUGGUACAUGGGUAGCACUGAUAUGGUUGUAAAUAGAAGGGGUCAUUGCUACAUGUGUAGCACUGCUAUGGUUGUAUAUAGAAGGGGUCAUUGUGACAUGGGUAGCACUGAUAUGGUUGUAAAAAGAAGGGUCAUUGCUACAUCGGUAGCACUGCUAUGGUUGUAAAAAGAAGGGUCAUUGCUACAUGGGUAGCACUGCUAUUAUUGUAAAUAGAAGGGUCAUUGCAACAUAGGUAGCACUUCUAUGAUUGUAAAAAAAAGGGUCAUUGUGACAUGGGUAGCACUGCUAUAAUUGUAAAUAGAAGGAUCAUUGCUACAUGGGUAGCACUGCUAUGGUUGUAAAUAGAAGGAGUCAUUGCUACAUGGAUAGCACUGCUAUGGUUGUAAAUAGAAGGGGUCAGUGCUACAUGGAUAGCACUGCUAUGGUUGUAAGUAGAAGGGGUCAUUGCUACAUGGAUAGCACUGCUAUGAUUGUAAAUAGAAGGGUCAUUGGUACAUGGGUAGCACUGAUAUGGUUGUAAAUAGAAGGGGUCAUUUCUACAUGUGUAGCACUGCUAUGGUUGUAAAUAGAAGAAUUAUUGGUACAUGGGUAGCACUGAUAUGGUUGUAAAUAGAAGGGUCAUUGUGACAUGGGUAGCACUGAUAUGGUUGUAAAAAGAAGGGUCAUUGCUACAUGGGUAGCACUGAUAUGGUUGUAAAAAGAAGGGUCAUUGCUACAUGGGUAGCACUGCUAUGGUUUUAAAUAGAAGGGUCAUUGGUACAUGGGUGGCACUGAUAUGGUUGUAAAUAGAAGGGGUCAUUGUGACAUGGGUAGCACUGAUAUGGUUGUAAAAAGAAGGGUCAUUGCUACAUGAGUAGCACUGAUAUGGUUGUAAAAAGAAGGGUCAUUGCUACAUGGGUAGCACUGAUAUGGUUGUAAAAAGAAGGGUCAUUGCUACAUGGGUAGCACAGAUAUGGUUGUAAAAAGAAGGGUCAUUGCUACAUGGGUAGCACUGAUAUGGUUGUAAAAAGAAGGGUCAUUGCUACAUGGGUAGCACUGAUAUGGUUGUAAAAGAAGGAUCAUUGCUACAUUGGCAGCACUGCUAUGGUUGUAAAUAGAAGGGUCAUUGGUACAUGGGUAGCACUGAUAUGGUUGUAAAUAGAAGGGGUCAUUGCUACAUGUGUAGCACUGCUAUGGUUGUAUAUAGAAGGGGUCAUUGUGACAUGGGUAGCACUGAUAUGGUUGUAAAAAGAAGAGUCAUUGCUACAUCGGUAGCACUGCUAUGGUUGUAAAAAGAAGGGUCAUUGCUACAUGGGUAGCACUGCUAUUAUUGUAAAUAGAAGGGUCAUUGCAACAUAGGUAGCACUUCUAUGAUUGUAAAAAGAAGGGUCAUUGCUACAUGGGUAGCACAGAUAUGGUUGUAAAAAGAAGGGUCAUUGCUACAUGGGUAGCACUGAUAUGGUUGUAAAAAGAAGGGUCAUUGCUACAUGGGUAGCACUGAUAUGGUUGUAAAAGAAGGAUCAUUGCUACAUUGGCAGCACUGCUAUGGUUGUAAAUAGAAGGGUCAUUGGUACAUGGGUAGCACUGAUAUGGUUGUAAAUAGAAGGGGUCAUUGCUACAUGUGUAGCACUGCUAUGGUUGUAUAUAGAAGGGGUCAUUGUGACAUGGGUAGCACUGAUAUGGUUGUAAAAAGAAGGGUCAUUGCUACAUCGGUAGCACUGCUAUGGUUGUAAAAAGAAGGGUCAUUGCUACAUGGGUAGCACUGCUAUUAUUGUAAAUAGAAGGGUCAUUGCAACAUAGGUAGCACUUCUAUGAUUGUAAAAAAAAGGGUCAUUGUGACAUGGGUAGCACUGCUAUAAUUGUAAAUAGAAGGAUCAUUGCUACAUGGGUAGCACUGCUAUGGUUGUAAAUAGAAGGAGUCAUUGCUACAUGGAUAGCACUGCUAUGGUUGUAAAUAGAAGGGGUCAGUGCUACAUGGAUAGCACUGCUAUGGUUGUAAGUAGAAGGGGUCAUUGCUACAUGGAUAGCACUGCUAUGAUUGUAAAUAGAAGGGUCAUUGGUACAUGGGUAGCACUGAUAUGGUUGUAAAUAGAAGGGGUCAUUUCUACAUGUGUAGCACUGCUAUGGUUGUAAAUAGAAGAAUUAUUGGUACAUGGGUAGCACUGAUAUGGUUGUAAAUAGAAGGGUCAUUGUGACAUGGGUAGCACUGAUAUGGUUGUAAAAAGAAGGGUCAUUGCUACAUGGGUAGCACUGAUAUGGUUGUAAAAAGAAGGGUCAUUGCUACAUGGGUAGCACAGAUAUGGUUGUAAAAAGAAGGGUCAUUGCUACAUGGGUAGCACUGAUAUGGUUGUAAAAAGAAGGGUCAUUGCUACAUGGGUAGCACUGAUAUGGUUGUAAAAAGAAGGGUCAUUGCUAUAUGGGUAGCACUGAUACGGUUGUAAAUAGAAGGGGUCAUUGCUACAUGGGUAGCACUGAUAUGGUUGUAAACAGAAACAAUUCUAGGUUUUCCUUCCUUAUUGGAUGGAUCCUUUUCCCCUAGUCUUCUUAAUGAAUAUUUUCAUAUAAAUAGCAACAUAUUUUGCAUAUCUGUAUCAUUUUUAUACAACCGCAAAUUUUUUGUGUUCGUAUAAUAUUAUCAUGUUGUCUACAUCCUUGUUGUCCGAAGACAUUUGGUUUCCAGACAAGAACUUGAGUAUAAGUGUAUGGAUCUCUAUGAAAUUGUACCUCAAGGUUCCAUACCACAACAGGAAUGUUGGGAUCUAUCUUGGGGUUAUUGUUCUAACUGUUUAGGAAUUAGGGGCCAAAAACAAGCAUUUUUCUUGUUUCAGGACAAUAACUGUGUAUAAGUUUAUGGAUCUCUAUGAAAUUGUACCACAAGGUUUCAUACAUCAAAAGGAAGGUUAUGAUUGAUUUUUGGGUAUAUAGCCCAAACUAUUUAGGAAUUAAGGGCCAAAAAAUGGGCCAUAAAAACUAGGAUUUACAUGGUUCAGGACAAUAACUUGUGUAUAAGUGUAUGGAUCUCUAUGAAAUUGUACCACAAGGUUCGAUACCAAAAAAAGAAAGGUUGGGAAUGAUUUUUGGGGUUAUGGCCCUAACCGUUUGGGAAAAAGGGGCCAAAACCAUUACUUUUAUACGACGUCGUAUAUUGGUAUCACAUUGUCAUUGUCCGAAGACAUUUGGUUUCCGGACAUUAACUUUAGUAUUAGUAAAUAGAAAUCUAUGAAAUUUAAACAUAAGGUUUAUAACCACAAAAGGAAGGUUGGGAUUGAUUUUGGGGGUUAUGGUCCCAACAGUUUAGGAAUUAGAGGCCAAAAAGGGGCCCAAAUAAGCAUUUUUCUAGUUUCAUGACAAUAACUUGUGGAACAGUGUAUGGAUCUCUCUGAAAUUAUACCACAAGUUUCCAUACCACAAAAGGAUGGUUAGGAUUGGCUUUGGGGGUUUAUGGCUCAAACCGUUUUGGAAUUGGGGGCAAAAAAGUGAGAAAAAACAAGGGUGUCCUGGUUAAUGGACAAUUACUUAAGUACAAAUUACAGUGUAAGGGAGGUAAUUCAAAUACAACUUUGAAUUACCUCCCUUACACUGCUUUCAAAUUAUGUAUCAAGAAUUUUUAUAUUGUCUUGAGGUGAUUAGCUGUCAAUUCAUUUUUAGAAGUUACUAUUUAAUAAUUUUAAAAAUGCUGAUUAAGGUAAAUUAAUUUAAGCUAUGAUUAUGUAUGUCAUUUUCUGAUUCAAAUCAAUUAACCAAUUCUAAGUUCUUUAACUACAGUUAUUCUGUGUCAGAAACCUAUUAUGCGUCAAAUAAUGAAUUACUAUCCAAAUUCAGACCUGUAUCAAGCACGAGUAUUGUGUCCAUUUUUGCCCAAACUGUUCAGGGUUGGACCUCUGCG